AACGCACAUUGCGCCCGCCAGUAUUCUGGCGGGCAUGCCUGUCUGAGCGUCAGUUCAACCCUCACAACCGGCUUUCUUGCUGGACGUGGUGUUGGGGAUCGGCUGCCUUUCUUCUAGGUGGCCGGCCCCGAAAUAGAGUGGCGGUCUCGUCGUGGCCUCCUCUGCGUAGUAGCAAUAUCUCGCAGGCGGAGAGCGGCGUGGCUAUGCCGUAAAACACCCAACUCUUCUAAGGUUGACCUCAGAUCAGGUAGGAAUACCCGCUGAACUUAA
RNAcentral lists this unclassified non-coding RNA (270 nucleotides) under uncultured Acremonium. RNAcentral's name for it is "sequence contains ITS2". The stretch from base 1 to 52 matches the Rfam family "5.8S ribosomal RNA", at positions 103 to 154 of the family's 154-position model. The record is from RNAcentral. Lineage: Eukaryota; Fungi; Ascomycota.